AACGCUAGCUACAGGCUUAACACAUGCAAGUCGAGGGGCAGCAUGUUGGUUGCUUGCAACCAAUGAUGGCGACCGGCGCACGGGUGCGUAACGCGUAUCGAACCUGCCCUAUACUCAGGGAUAGCCUUGCGAAAGUAAGAUUAAUACCUGAUGUUGUUAUUUAUUCGCAUGUUUGAAUAACGAAAGAUUUAUUGGUAUAGGAUGGCGAUGCGUGGCAUUAGGUAGUAGGCGGGGUAACGGCCCACCUAGCCGACGAUGCCUAGGGGUUCUGAGAGGAAGGUCCCCCACACUGGAACUGAGACACGGUCCAGACUCCUACGGGAGGCAGCAGUGAGGAAUAUUGGUCAAUGGACGAGAGUCUGAACCAGCCAAGUAGCGUGCAGGAUGACGGCCCUCUGGGUUGUAAACUGCUUUUAGUUGGGAAUAAAAAGAGGGACGUGUCCCUUAUUGUAUGUACCAUCAGAAAAAGGACCGGCUAAUUCCGUGCCAGCAGCCGCGGUAAUACGGAAGGUCCAGGCGUUAUCCGGAUUUAUUGGGUUUAAAGGGAGCGUAGGCGGGAUGAUAAGUCAGUUGUGAAAGUUUGAGGCUCGACCUUAAAAUUGCAAUUGAAACUGUUGUUCUUGAGUGCACGCAGGGGUGCUGGAAUUCAUGGUGUAGCGGUGAAAUGCUUAGAUAUCAUGAAGAACUCCGACGGCGAAGGCAUGUGCCCGGAGUGCAACUGACGCUGAGGCUCGAAAGUGCGGGUAUCAAACAGGAUUAGAUACCCUGGUAGUCCGCACAGUAAACGAUGGAUACCCGCGGUCCGCGAUAUACAGUGGGUCGCCAAGCGAAAGCGUUAAGUAUCCCACCUGGGGAGUACGCCGGCAACGGUGAAACUCAAAGGAAUUGACGGGGGCCCGCACAAGCGGAGGAACAUGUGGUUUAAUUCGAUGAUACGCGAGGAACCUUACCCGGGCUUGAACUGCAGCUGCAUAGUUUAGAGAUAGACUUUCCCUUCGGGGCUGCUGUGGAGGUGCUGCAUGGUUGUCGUCAGCUCGUGCCGUGAGGUGUCGGCUUAAGUGC
Molecule: ribosomal RNA, 1062 nt
Filed under: uncultured Bacteroidales bacterium
Lineage: Bacteria; Pseudomonadati; Bacteroidota; Bacteroidia; Bacteroidales
Description: bacterial SSU rRNA
Rfam family: Bacterial small subunit ribosomal RNA
Source: RNAcentral